RNAcentral lists this ribosomal RNA (222 nucleotides) under uncultured bacterium. RNAcentral describes it as "partial 16S ribosomal RNA". It matches the Rfam family "Bacterial small subunit ribosomal RNA", at positions 109 to 334 of the family's 1533-position model. The record is from RNAcentral.
AGUAAUGUCUGGGAAACUGCCUGAUGGAGGGGGAUAACUGCUGGAAACGGUAGCUAAUACCGCAUAACGUCGCAGGACCAGAGAGGGGGACCUUCGGGCCUCUUGCCAUCGGAUGUGCCCAGAUGGGAUUAGCUAGUAGGUGGGGUAACGGCUCACCUAGGCGACGAUCCCUAGCUGGUCUGAGAGGAUGACCAGCCACACUGGAACUGAGACACGGUCCAG